This 391-nucleotide ribosomal RNA is filed under the name uncultured bacterium. RNAcentral describes it as "bacterial SSU rRNA". It matches the Rfam family "Bacterial small subunit ribosomal RNA", at positions 30 to 425 of the family's 1533-position model. The record is from RNAcentral.
AUUGAACGCUGGCGGCAUGCCUUACACAUGCAAGUCGAACGGCAGCGGACCUUCGGGUGCCGGCGAGUGGCGAACGGGUGAGUAAUAUAUCGGAACGUACCUUUCAGUGGGGGAUAACGUAGCGAAAGUUACGCUAAUACCGCAUAUUCUGUGAGCAGGAAAGCAGGGGAUCGCAAGACCUUGCGCUGAUUGAGCGGCCGAUAUCGGAUUAGCUAGUUGGUGGGGUAAAGGCUCACCAAGGCGACGAUCCGUAGCGGGUCUGAGAGGACGACCCGCCACACUGGAACUGAGACACGGUCCAGACUCCUACGGGAGGCAGCAGUGGGGAAUUUUGGACAAUGGGGGCAACCCUGAUCCAGUCAUUCCGCGUGAGUGAAGAAGGCCUCGGUUG